UACGGAGGGUGCGAGCGUUGUCCGGAAUCAUUGGGCGUAAAGGGCGCGUAGGUGGCCCGGUCAGUCUUUGGUGAAAGCGCGGGGCUCAACCCUGCGUCGGCCAGGGAUACUGCCGCGGCUCGAGCACUGUAGAGGCAGGCGGAAUUCCGGGUGUAGCGGUGGAAUGCGUAGAUAUCAGGAAGAACACCCGUGGCGAAGGCGGCUCUCUGGAACGCAACUGACGCUGAGACGCGAAAGCGUGGGGAGCAAACAGG
RNAcentral lists this ribosomal RNA (254 nucleotides) under uncultured bacterium. RNAcentral's name for it is "partial 16S ribosomal RNA". It matches the Rfam family "Bacterial small subunit ribosomal RNA", at positions 524 to 776 of the family's 1533-position model. The record is from RNAcentral.